RNAcentral lists this ribosomal RNA (1098 nucleotides) under Salmonella enterica. RNAcentral describes it as "partial 23S ribosomal RNA". It matches the Rfam family "Bacterial large subunit ribosomal RNA", at positions 711 to 1789 of the family's 2925-position model. Lineage: Bacteria; Pseudomonadati; Pseudomonadota; Gammaproteobacteria; Enterobacterales; Enterobacteriaceae. The record is from RNAcentral.
AGACCCGAAACCCGGUGAUCUAGCCAUGGGCAGGUUGAAGGUUGGGUAACACUAACUGGAGGACCGAACCGACUAAUGUUGAAAAAUUAGCGGAUGACCUGUGGCUGGGGGUGAAAGGCCAAUCAAACCGGGAGAUAGCUGGUUCUCCCCGAAAGCUAUUUAGGUAGCGCCUCGUGAAUUCAUCUCCGGGGGUAGAGCACUGUUUCGGCUAGGGGGCCAUCCCGGCUUACCAACCCGAUGCAAACUGCGAAUACCGGAGAAUGUUAUCACGGGAGACACACGGCGGGUGCUAACGUCCGUCGUGAAGAGGGAAACAACCCAGACCGCCAGCUAAGGUCCCAAAGUCAUGGUUAAGUGGGAAACGAUGUGGGAAGGCCCAGACAGCCAGGAUGUUGGCUUAGAAGCAGCCAUCAUUUAAAGAAAGCGUAAUAGCUCACUGGUCGAGUCGGCCUGCGCGGAAGAUGUAACGGGGCUAAACCAUGCACCGAAGCUGCGGCAGCGACGCUUAUGCGUUGUUGGGUAGGGGAGCGUUCUGUAAGCCUGUGAAGGUGUGUCGUGAGGCAUGCUGGAGGUAUCAGAAGUGCGAAUGCUGACAUAAGUAACGAUAAAGCGGGUGAAAAGCCCGCUCGCCGGAAGACCAAGGGUUCCUGUCCAACGUUAAUCGGGGCAGGGUGAGUCGACCCCUAAGGCGAGGCCGAAAGGCGUAGUCGAUGGGAAACGGGUUAAUAUUCCCGUACUUGGUGUUACUGCGAAGGGGGGACGGAGAAGGCUAUGUUGGCCGGGCGACGGUUGUCCCGGUUUAAGCGUGUAGGUGUGUGUUCCAGGUAAAUCCGGUUCACUUUAACACUGAGGCGUGAUGACGAGGCACUACGGUGCUGAAGUAACAAAUGCCCUGCUUCCAGGAAAAGCCUCUAAGCAUCAGGUAACAUCAAAUCGUACCCCAAACCGACACAGGUGGUCAGGUAGAGAAUACCAAGGCGCUUGAGAGAACUCGGGUGAAGGAACUAGGCAAAAUGGUGCCGUAACUUCGGGAGAAGGCACGCUGACACGUAGGUGAAGUGAUUUACUCACGGAGCUGAAGUCAGUCGAAGAUACCAG